ACGGGGCAAUUGCUCAGUACGGCGAGUGAAGCGGCAAAAGCUCAAAUUUGAAAUCUGGCACCUUCGGUGUCCGAGUUGUAAUUUGAAGAAGGUAACUUUGGAGUUGGCUCUUGUCUAUGUUCCUUGGAACAGGACGUCACAGAGGGUGAGAAUCCCGUGCGAUGAGAUGUCCAAUUCUAUGUAAAGUGCUUUCGAAGAGUCGAGUUGUUUGGGAAUGCAGCUCUAAGUGGGUGGUAAAUUCCAUCUAAAGCUAAAUAUUGGCGAGAGACCGAUAGCGAACAAGUACAGUGAUGGAAAGAUGAAAAGAACUUUGAAAAGAGAGUGAAAAAGUACGUGAAAUUGUUGAAAGGGAAGGGCUUGAGAUCAGACUUGGUAUUUUGCAAGCUUUACCUUCGUGGUGGAGUCCCCUGCAGUUUACUGGGCCAGCAUCGGUUUGGAUGGUAGGAUAAUGACUUGGGAAUGUGGCUUUGCUUCGGUAAAGUGUUAUAGCCCUUGUUGAUACUACCUGUCUAGACCGAGGACUGCGUCUUUGACUAGGAUGUUGGCAUAAUGAUCUUAAGUCGCCCGUCUUAAAMMMMMGRAMMAAAA
Molecule: ribosomal RNA, 588 nt
Filed under: Schwanniomyces vanrijiae
Lineage: Eukaryota; Fungi; Ascomycota; Pichiomycetes; Serinales; Debaryomycetaceae
Description: partial large subunit ribosomal RNA
Rfam family: Eukaryotic large subunit ribosomal RNA
Source: RNAcentral